RNAcentral lists this unclassified non-coding RNA (400 nucleotides) under soil metagenome. RNAcentral's name for it is "partial contains 5.8S ribosomal RNA, internal transcribed spacer 2, and large subunit ribosomal RNA". The stretch from base 1 to 122 matches the Rfam family "5.8S ribosomal RNA", at positions 35 to 154 of the family's 154-position model. The record is from RNAcentral.
GAUGAAGAACGUAGCGAAAUGCGAUACUUGGUGUGAAUUGCAGAAUCCCGUGAACCAUCGAGUCUUUGAACGCAAGUUGCGCCUCAAGCCAUUAGGUUGAGGGCACGUCUGCCUGGGCGCCACAUAUCGUUGCCUGAUGCCAGUUUCCUCGUGAUGGGUGACUGUGCAGGGCGAAUGAUGGCUUCCCGUGAGCAUUGUUGCCUCAUGGUUGGUUGAAAAUUGAGUCCUUGGUAGGGAGCGCCGUGAUAGAUGGUGGUUGAGUGACGAACGCGACCCAAUCAUGUGAGACCCCUACCGAAUUUGGCCUUCAUGACCCACAUGCGUCUUUGGAACGCUCAUGACGGGACCUCAGGUCGGGCGGGGCUACCCGCUGAGUUUAAGCAUAUCAAUAAGUGGAGGA